AGCUUCCCUCACGCUUCUUUUUCACCGGAGCUUGCUCCACCGGAAAAAGAGGAGUGGCGAACGGGUGAGUAACACGUGGGUAACCUGCCCAUCAGAAGGGGAUAACACUUGGAAACAGGUGCUAAUACCGUAUAACAAUCAAAACCGCAUGGUUUUGAUUUGAAAGGCGCUUUCGGGUGUCGCUGAUGGAUGGACCCGCGGUGCAUUAGCUAGUUGGUGAGGUAACGGCUCACCAAGGCCACGAUGCAUAGCCGACCUGAGAGGGUGAUCGGCCACAUUGGGACUGAGACACGGCCCAAACUCCUACGGGAGGCAGCAGUAGGGAAUCUUCGGCAAUGGACGAAAGUCUGACCGAGCAACGCCGCGUGAGUGAAGAAGGUUUUCGGAUCGUAAAACUCUGUUGUUAGAGAAGAACAAGGAUGAGAGUAACUGUUCAUCCCUUGACGGUAU
Molecule: ribosomal RNA, 450 nt
Filed under: Enterococcus faecium
Lineage: Bacteria; Bacillati; Bacillota; Bacilli; Lactobacillales; Enterococcaceae
Description: bacterial SSU rRNA
Rfam family: Bacterial small subunit ribosomal RNA
Source: RNAcentral